This is a long non-coding RNA of Mus pahari (shrew mouse), 945 nucleotides long. RefSeq lists it as uncharacterized. Lineage: Eukaryota; Metazoa; Chordata; Mammalia; Rodentia; Muridae. The transcript has 3 exons. The record is from RefSeq and is a predicted model, not a curated record.
AGUCAAGGAGUGGGUCCAGGCUCCAGGUUUUGACACCUUUCCAAAGUUCCUUCCAUGCUUGUGAUGUGCAGGAAGAACUGAAAGGCCCUGGCCCGGAUGGUGUCUGCGGUUUCUGGCAGGCAGAAGGUUGACUAUCUAUAAGACUUGGUGACAACGGAGUGGGUGGGUGGCCCUUCCAGGUGCAACCAGAACAAGACAGACAGUUGCCUGUGGAUCAGGCCUGGACCGUCACUGCUCUGGAAGCUUUCCAGUAGAAGGGACUAUGUUUUGCCAGCUCCUGCUAUGCCAUUUGGUAUACAGUCUGCUUACGGAGGUGACACCUGCUGACCUUGCGUGUUUGAGAGCCACCCAUUCUGAAGGCUAUAGUGUUCUGCUCACCACCUACAAUUACCGUGACUAAAAAUACUUCGGAGUGAGGAGAGUCUUCAAGGGGACUUGGCGCCCAGACUACACUGUUCCUAUUUUGGUACUAUGUCUCAAGGCCACAGCCUUGCUACUGCUGAGCCGCGCAUCGCCAGUAAGGCAUUGCACUUCAGAAUUCAUGGAAGCCUUGUGAUUAUGUCUCUUUCCCCCAAAAUGGUGCCCACUAGAGAUCUUCCAGAUAAUUCCAUCACGACUUAGCCACCAUGUGCAGAAAAAGCAACUUCGUAGACAUCAGGCGAGCAUGCGUCUUCCCCGUGGUAAUGUAGCCACAGCUAAUGGGAUUCUUCCACCUUCACUGGUGUGAUUGAGGAGCUUCCACACAAACCCCAGGUCAUCGUGUGAAGAGAAAUAAACUAGAUGAGGGUGAUCAAACAGGCCGAGAAGACACCAUACCCUCUUCUUCUUCUGCUGUCUUGAGCACCUUGUGUCCGUUCACUCAGCACGAAUCCAUCUUAGCAAUAAAUCCCCCACAAGGGUGUUGUGCUCUCUCCAAUUUAAUCGGCAUUAAAUCCUUUUGAGUCC